RNAcentral lists this ribosomal RNA (254 nucleotides) under uncultured soil bacterium. RNAcentral's name for it is "partial 16S ribosomal RNA". It matches the Rfam family "Bacterial small subunit ribosomal RNA", at positions 26 to 286 of the family's 1533-position model. The record is from RNAcentral.
AGGACGAACGCUGGCGGCGUGCUUAACACAUGCAAGUCGAGCGGAAAGGCCCUUCGGGGUACUCGAGCGGCGAACGGGUGAGUAACACGUGGGCAACCUGCCCCUAGCUCUGGGAUAACUCCGGGAAACCGGGCUAAUACCGGAUACGAUCUUCCAUGGCAUCUCGGAAGAUGGAAAGUUUUUCGGCUAGGGAUGGGCCCGCGGCCUAUCAGCUUGUUGGUGAGGUAACGGCCCACCAAGGCGACAACGGGUAG